CUUUGUAACUAUCUUCCCAAGCUCUGCUUAUUAGUCCCAGUUGUCCUUAAUAGAGUACUUUACUCUCAUCUAAGCCUCUGACCCCUCAAGCUGUGCUCAGUUUGAAACACUAAUAACAAAAAUGCCAAAUGAAUCGCGGAAAAAGAUGGUAGGAUCAUAAGGCUCGCGGUGUAACUUGUGGCAGAUGGAAAACCAGCUCAGACAUGUCCUCUGGAGUGACAGCAGAUGAUUGCUCCCUCUUUAAAUGGUCCCUUCCCCCACAAAGAAGGAAACAAAAGCAUAAAAAAAGAAGAGGACCAUUAGAAGUACAUAAAAGAAGAGCUUUCUUUCUCUGGAUGUGCAUAGUAUUCUUUCUCCUAAAUUCCUCUGGAUUAUCCUGGAUCAUUUCAUUGAUGCUAGGGAGUCAUACUGUUGGUUGGAUAUUCUUCUAGACCUUGAGAGGCUGUGGAUGUGGAAUCAAAGACCUAAAUUCAAAUCCCUGCUCUGCCAUUUCAUUCCUGGCUCACCUUUACCUUUUGGAGGUAUAAUGUCCUCAUCUCAAAAUGACUGUUUGUUAUAUUCCCUAUUCAAUUAUUUUCAUCUUUAAAUCUCAAUCAUGGAUCACCUCAGUUAAAAGACAAUGUUCAAGAGGUGAUGAGUGAAAAAAAAUCAAUAUUCUGUGAAUGACAAGGUGAUGUAUCCCUUGAAAUUUAGCCAGAGCAUUUCUUAGACAAUAAAUAUACAGUUUACUUUACGAAUCA
RNAcentral lists this long non-coding RNA (740 nucleotides) under Monodelphis domestica (gray short-tailed opossum). RNAcentral's name for it is "lncRNA (ENSMODG00000030371.2)". The record is from RNAcentral. Lineage: Eukaryota; Metazoa; Chordata; Mammalia; Didelphimorphia; Didelphidae.